Molecule: non-coding RNA, 119 nt
Organism: Caenorhabditis elegans
Lineage: Eukaryota; Metazoa; Nematoda; Chromadorea; Rhabditida; Rhabditidae
Source: Ensembl
UUCAAAUUUGGUGGCCUAGAACUACAAAACUAGGCCACCAACUUCAAAUCGAUGUAACUUUGCCGAAAAUCAAUAUUUUUGAGAUCAGAAAAAAUAAUCGAUAAUUCCUAAAGUUGGCC